Molecule: long non-coding RNA, 1170 nt
Filed under: Heterocephalus glaber (naked mole-rat)
Lineage: Eukaryota; Metazoa; Chordata; Mammalia; Rodentia; Bathyergidae
Description: lncRNA (ENSHGLG00100049392.1)
Source: RNAcentral
CUGUUAGUCCUGAAGGAGGAAGACUAGUGUCCCCUGAACAUGGCCAAGGAGAACAGCCUCUACUGCAGCCUGGAAGGGGCUGGUGCUGGGGGGCUUGGUCAUGGCAGUCAGAGCUGAAGCCCACCAUCCCAUCCAUCUGCCUCUAGACGGUGUUUAGGAGGAAUGGGCCAGGUCACCUGAGCAGUAAGUCAGCGGCUUUGGUGCCCGGAUCUUGUGGCAGUGGGCACCAUUUUGGUUAUGCUUUGCCAUACCCAUGUGGGGCUGGGCCAGCGUGGGCCAGAAACUGAGGCUAUCAGAGGAGCGACCUGGGAGCCUUGGAGACAGCCCUAGGACCUGCCCCAACCACAAGAACAACAACCCAAGAACUGCUUCCCUGUUUGAACUGGGCUCCGCAUUCCCCAAGGAGCCUGCUGGGAACCCGGGGUUGGAUGGAGUCCUUGCCUUCCUUCCUCGCAGUAGUCGCAGACCCAGGGCGUGGCCAUCCUCUGGGGACGUGGCCCGAGGCCCUCAUGUCACUGCGGCUAGGAGCAACUCACUGUCCCCUGCCUUUUCAAGGGCCUCAGUCCCUUCUCUCCUUCUGACUGUGAGCACCGGUAGGAAUUGUGGAGCCAGGUAACAUCAAAACAAAGUGCAGAAUUAACUUCUUCAUCUUUCAAAUUUAAUAUUAAUAUUUAAUUUUGGUUUUUUGAGAGAGAGAGUCUCGCUAUGCAAUCCAGGCUGGCCUUGAACUCACUGUGUAACUCAUGCUGGCUUCGAACUCACAGCGAUCCUCGUGCCCCAGGAUAAUUUUUACUUUGGACAUAAGUUUUUUUUUUCUUUUUUUGGUUCUGGGGAUUGAACUUGGGUCCUUGCGCUUGCGCAGCAGGUGGGGAAACCACUGAGCUAAAUCCUGGCCCCUGGACAUAAGUUUUAUGUUAGUCGUGUGGAGGUGUUUCGAGCAGACACAGGGCUUUUCUGGACAUUCCCACAGGAGUUUCUAAGCACAUCGAAAAAAUUUCCUCAGGGCACAUGCACGGGAGUGGAAUUUCUGCAUGAACCAUGCAUUUUCUUAACAUCACUGCAUGAUGCUGAAAAGCUCUUCGAGAUGGCCAGGGCUCCCUGUCCCUGGCCCCAGUGGGUCCUGUGUUGGCCAUUCAUAGCAUUUUAUUAUGACAAAAAUAAAUAUAACAU